Molecule: long non-coding RNA, 1022 nt
Organism: Lathyrus oleraceus (garden pea)
Lineage: Eukaryota; Viridiplantae; Streptophyta; Magnoliopsida; Fabales; Fabaceae
Exons: 2
Source: RefSeq, a predicted model, not a curated record
CCUCUUCGUUCCAAAUAUGUCUUGCAAUACAGUUCGGAUAAAGGGGCAGCACUGACAAGUCUGAUGAGCCUUAUCCAACCCCUUGUGGUGCUUGGGGUGUCUUUACUUCCUCCUGGGCCUGGGGUGCCUUAGGUACCUCUACCGCCUCCUGCACAUAGGGUACAUUUAGUGUAUGAGGUACCUCUUUUAUCUCGGAUGUCAGAACAACUGAAAUCUGUCACCUAUAGGAAGAUGGAGGCAAGGAUGCAUAAGUAGGUGACACCCGUCUCCUACGGGAAGAAGAAGGCGGAGAUACAUGAGCCCCAAAAGCUCACACCUCCACAUCAACCAGGCUAUAGGUAACAUGAGCCUGCAAAGGGUGAAUUUUUUUCCCUCUGCAUGUUGUGUAACCCUAUCCUACCUUAAUCAAUUUUUUCUAUCAGCAAUAAUCGAAGGCUUUUGAUGCUCAACAAACAUAAACGGAGAAAACGAAAAAACGCUUAUGUAAAAAAGCUGCAACGACAACGCGAUUCACAACUUCAACUUUCCGGAUUCACGUCUGGAUUGUGUUCAUCCUCAACUUCUUCUUCUUCUUCAGAUUAUGACGCGUCAAGUGAAGAGCAUGGAAUUGAAAUCAAGAAAACUCACCGGAUUGAAGCAUUGAUGCAACCAGGGUUGUGAUCAUUGGCUUGCUUGUGGAAAUUUGAUGCUUGGACAUGUUAAUCAUGGAGCUAUUGUGGGAUGUGAAUGCUAGGACAUGUUAUUGACGUAUUGUAUGGUGAUGUUGAAAAAUGACUUGGAACUUAGGAUUGUUAAUGGUUGGAUUUUUUUGUAAUUUUGAAAUUGACAUUGUAUUGGUUUGAAUGUAGGGUUAUGUAUUAUUAUGUUGUAAUUAGAAUUAAUGGCAUGGUUUGUGGUUUGUAAAUUUGAAUUGGUUUAGGUGUUGAAAUGUAAAAUGUGUAUGAAUUGAAUUCAAUUGAAUUGGAAUUGGCUUGUAAUUUGAAUCCGUUGAAUUGGAAUGUGAUUGUUAAGUUGUUUUGAAA